ACACGUAUGGGGCGAGCGUUGUUCGGAAUUACUGGGCGUAAAGGGUGCGCAGGCGGUUCAGCAAGCUCGGUGUUAAAUACCCCGGCCCAACCGGGGGGCUGCGCUGAGAACUGCUGGGCUUGAGUUCAGGAGGGGAAGCUGGAAUUCCUGGUGUAGGGGUGAAAUCUGUAGAGAUCAGGAAGAACACCGGUGGCGAAGGCGAGCUUCUGGCCAUGGACUGACGCUGAGGCACGAAAGCGUGGGGAGCGAACAGGAUUAGAUACCCUGGUAGUCCACGCCGUAAACGAUGUGCACUAGGUGUUGGGGCGAUGAAGCCUCGGUGCCGUAGCGAACGUGGUAAGUGCACCGCCUGGGGAGUAUGCUCGCAAGGGUGAA
Molecule: ribosomal RNA, 375 nt
Filed under: uncultured bacterium
Lineage: Bacteria
Description: bacterial SSU rRNA
Rfam family: Bacterial small subunit ribosomal RNA
Source: RNAcentral